AUUUACUCAUUAUAUUUUGAUAAAGAAUUUUUUUUAAAAAUAAUUAUUAAAAAUAAAAAACAUAAGUAAAAAUAGAAAUUAAUUUUUUUAAAAAAAAAAACAGACAAGUAAAGUGGAAAUGAGGGAGUAUAGAAAGCUCACCUCACCAUCAAAGAAUGUUCCUCCCUUAAUUAGAGAUCUCAGGUUCGAGCUUAGGUAUGAAAUUUUUUUCGUAGGAAGCGUUACUUCUGAAUGGAGCCCUACCCAAGACAAAUUUAAAUUAAUCGGACUCUAAUACAUACCGAACAUUCGAUAAAAAACCAAAAAAAUAAAAUAAAAUAAACACCUCACCUCACUUACCUAUAUAUAGUGACGUGCAGAAGUGUAUUAUGUUUUCUCCCUGGAACCGUAACUUACAUGGAAACCCACAAGAGGAAAGGCUUAUUGAUAUUUCAGAUAUUUUUUUCCAUGAAUCUGUUAUUCCACUGGCUAUUUGACAAAUACAAUGACAAUUGCUAGAGGAAAUUCAGGGUCACUCUCUGUUGUGGAAGGUCAGACUUCUCAUUAACUCUUCUGUUUUUCUUCAUUCGAGCCAUCUGCAUGGGCAUAAUGCAUGUAUUAAUUUUACUAAGUUAGGAAAACAUGAAAGGGGUAAAAUUGGAGAGCAGAUUUUAUGAAGUAAUAUUUACAUUGUUCUCCAGUUGUUUCUUUUCCUCUAGCAGCAGUUUUUCCUGCAAUAAGGAGUAUCAUGUGCAGUCUCUCUUGAAAAUUUAACAUGAUAUCAAUUCAUACUAAAAUAAUUAAAGAUAUCUGAUGAGAGCUAUUGAUUAAAAAGAGCUACAUAGAGCAGUAGAAAGCAGGGAUGCCUAUUAAAUCCGUCCAGAUUUGAAGGAGCAAAGACUAUUGUAUGAGAUUUGAUCAACAGAGAAGCUAGAAUAUAUGUCUGGUAGUCAAUUAAGUCUUAACAUACUUCUAGACCAGCCUAUCAAGAAACUCGGUUUUCCAAUAUUAUUGAAUAACAUGGCCUGGGGCUAAGAUAACUCAAAUGGGAGAGCCGUGUUAUGGGUGACCUUAUUGCACGGUUCAGAGAGCACUUCUGUAUGUAAUGCAAGUGAACGUCUAUGACAAAGCUGUCGUAAAGUUUCGUUCUUCAUUCCGUUGUCAACUCUAUGUUUCUAUGAUGGCCCAAGAACAAAUGGAUGUUUUGUGCCUUCUUAUACUCCUUCCAACAAUAAGGUAACUGACUAUCUUAAGCUUACGCAACUUGGGACGUUAGCAUGCAAGCACUACUGACCUAAGUUGCUCGGAUUCUCCAAAAAUGUUGCCGCACCCGUGUCGGAUCC
Long non-coding RNA from Capsicum annuum, 1322 nucleotides. RefSeq lists it as uncharacterized. NCBI's taxonomy places the organism in Eukaryota, Viridiplantae, Streptophyta, Magnoliopsida, Solanales, Solanaceae. The transcript is spliced from 2 exons. The record is from RefSeq and is a predicted model, not a curated record.